UGGGGAAUUUUCCGCAAUGGGCGAAAGCCUGACGGAGCAACGCCGCGUGGGUGAAGAAGGAUUUCGGUCUGUAAAGCCCUUUCAGUCGGGACGAGACGAAGACGGUACCGACAGAAGAAGCAUCGGCUAACUACGUGCCAGCAGCCGCGGUAAUACGUAGGAUGCAAGCGUUAUCCGGAAUUAUUGGGCGUAAAGCGAACGUAGGCGGUUCUGUAAGUCUGGGGUUAAAGAUCAAGGCUCAACCUUGGGAAUGCCUCGGAAACUACAGGACUGGAGGACGGCAGAGGAAAGUGGAAUUCCCAGUGUAGCGGUGAAAUGCGUAGAUAUUGGGAGGAACACCAGUGGCGAAAGCGACUUUCUGGGCCGUUCCUGACGCUGAGGUUCGAAAGCCAGGGGAGCAAACGG
This 405-nucleotide ribosomal RNA is filed under the name uncultured bacterium. RNAcentral's name for it is "bacterial SSU rRNA". It matches the Rfam family "Bacterial small subunit ribosomal RNA", at positions 355 to 775 of the family's 1533-position model. The record is from RNAcentral.